This 373-nucleotide ribosomal RNA is filed under the name Gloeocystis sp. A CCCryo137-01. RNAcentral's name for it is "SSU rRNA". It matches the Rfam family "Eukaryotic small subunit ribosomal RNA", at positions 1457 to 1831 of the family's 1831-position model. The record is from RNAcentral. Lineage: Eukaryota; Viridiplantae; Chlorophyta; Chlorophyceae; Sphaeropleales; Radiococcaceae.
CAGGUCUGUGAUGCCCUUUAGAUGUUCUGGGCCGCACGCGCGCUACACUGAUGCAUUCAACGAGCCUAUCCUUGGCCGAGAGGCCCGGGUAAUCUUUGAAACUGCAUCGUGAUGGGGAUAGAUUAUUGCAAUUAUUAGUCUUCAACGAGGAAUGCCUAGUAAGCGCGAGUCAUCAGCUCGCGUUGAUUACGUCCCUGCCCUUUGUACACACCGCCCGUCGCUCCUACCGAUUGGGUGUGCUGGUGAAGUGUUCGGAUUGGUUUCAGUUGGUGGCAACAUCGAUUGAGACUGAAAAGUUCCCUAAACCCUCCCACCUAGAGGAAGGAGAAGUCGUAACAAGGUUUCCGUAGGUGAACCUGCGGAAGGAUCAUUG